ACUGCCUUUUAUGCGUGCUAUAUGGUAAUUAUUAUUUUUUCUUUUCUAAAAGUUCAAAACCAGGAGAAUUUUCCUUCAUGUAGUUGGUUAGUUUAUUCAUCCGGUGUUUUAUGUUAAAUUCAUGUUCAUUGAAGUGAAUGUAGAAGAUGAUGGGAAAAACUGAAAUAAUUCGGUUCAGUAGCUUAUUCUGCUUUUUAUUUUUUUUGGGUAAAGUAUUCAGCUGUUUCUUUGAAGUAUGGAGAAUGAGUAUCACGAAUAAAUUUAGUGAAUGGGAUGCAAAAAAUUUCAUCAGCUGUCAGUAAGUUAAACUUCUGUAGGUCAUUAUGAAUUGGAAAAGGUAAUGGAAAUAGUCUUCAAGAACCAAUAUAGCUUUUAUCUUAUAAAUAUCAGUCAUUUAGGAAAUUACAUGCUUAAGCAAUAUACGGAAAGAGAUAAAACAAGCAGCAAAAAGAUCAAGAGGUGAUUACAGCCAUGUUGGAAAUAUUAUUUGAUAACGUAUCAUAACAUGUGACUGAGAUUUUAAAUCAUAAUUGUUAUGGUGUAGAAGGGAGGGCUUCAUUAGUCUCACAUUGAUGGUGAGUCAAGGGAGACUCUAGCUUAUACAGAAAGAGACCAUCCUUGCCAUGUGAAGUGCUUUUUGAAGGACAAAACCAUGGGUCCAUGGUCCAGAGACAAAACUGUGAGGUCCAUGGUCUAGAGCGAACAAUACCUCACAUAUCGAGCCAUAAGCCUUAGGCCACAACAGUGGCGUAUCAAGUAGGGGACCACCCCUACAACUGUGGGGCUCCUCCUGCCCAUACAUCAGUCUGUAGUAAAAAUAAAGAGGAUGGCAUCUUCCAUCCGUACACAGGCUCCCCCUUUAUUGGGGCUUGUGGUAAAAAUAAGAAGGAGGACACCUUCCGUCCAUACACAGACUUCUCUUUGACUGGGAGGCUAUGUCGUGGUGUAGAAGAGAGGGCUUUAUUAGUCCCACAUUAGUUGUGAGUCAAGAGGGAUUCUAGCUUAUAUAAGAAGAGACUAUUUUUCUCACAUGAGGUACAUUUUGAAAAGCAAAACCAUGAGACCCACAAGCCAAAACGGACAAUACCUCACGUGUCAAGCUAUGAGUUCGUGGCCACAACAAUAAUAUUGAUUUGGAAUGGAUGGCCAAGGCAUAGUCUCGAUAUAUUUUUUUUGUUAUAUUAGAAAUAUUAUCUAAAAACUUGAGGAAUAAAUGAGGAUGUUCUUAUUAUGUCUGAGAGGACUAAUAAUUACAUAUUAUAAUAUGAAACUUUUUGUGAGAUAGGAAAAUAUGACUAGUGGAUGUAAUGUUGAUAGGAUUGAAUGACUAAGAAGGAAGCCACUAUCAAUAAAAUAAGUAAUAGGCUUUAACGAUAAAAUGGGAUGCCUUUUUAUGCUUCUGCCUCUCUGCCUCUGUACACAUUUGAUCACACAUCGUUCUAUAUUACUUUUGAUAUUUAAUUCAUUGACAUUUUCCUCUCUCUCUCUCUCAAAAGACUCAUUUAUAGACAUCUGUUAUCAGCAAUUUAUAUGUCAUCCAUCUGUAAUAUUUUUUCUCCAUUUUUUUUAUUAUUGUAACUCCUUGUGCUCUUUUUUCGGUAUGAGCUGAGUAAAUUUUGCCCGUAUAAUACCAUUUGAGCCGACGAUGGGGACCCUUCAAUAAACACAGCCCCAUCUGAUAAGCGGCCUGAUGUUGUAUUGCUUGAUUCUGUGAUCUUCCCACCUCAAUGGUUGGUUGCUGAGCAUACCUUCCGCGCUUCUUAUUACCAUUGCAGUUGUAUGAGUGAAUUCAUGGGUUUAAUUUAUGGGACUAAAGCUGAUGGAUUUCUUCUCGGGGUGGCUAAGCUCACACAGCUGCAUGAUACCACAUGGACCUGGCACUAAGACAUAAUGAGUAUAAGCUGAGUAAAUUUUGCCCGUAUAAUACCAUUUGAGCCGAGGAUGGGGACCCUUCAAUAAGCACAGAUACUUUGACUUCAGGCUAUGUUCUUUUGCUCAUUUCAUGUAGGUGAAUAUUAAGAGCAAGGUUCGUGGACUCGGUAUUGGAAUCCGUACUGGUUACAGCCCUAUCUGAUAAGCGCUCUGAUGUUGUAUUGCUUGAUUCUGUGAUCUUCCCACCCCGAUGGUUGGUUGCUGAGCAUACCUUCCGCCCUUCUUGUUACCAUUGCAGUUGUAUGAGUGAAUUCAUGGGUUUAAUUUAUGGGGCUAAAGCUGACGGAUUUCUUCCCGGGGUGGCUAAGCUCACACAGCUGCAUGAUACCACGUGGACCUGGCACUAAGACAUAAUGAGGCCACGAUUGCUUGCAGUGAGGGUGCUGAGCCAUUUAGAACAAGUGGUACGAUGGCCUUAAUGUUUCAGUUUUCCCUUAUCCCUGGAGUCUGCCCAUGGGCACUUGAGUCUCCAAUUGUCGAUGCUGAGUACUACCGGUGCUGGAUUGGACUGAGGUCGCACUUGUCAUUAAAUGGGAGACAAGCAGUAAAUGGAAGUGUCACUCCAAGCAGUGGAGUUCUGCUUGGAGAUAAUGCGGUGCAUGAAGAUGGAAGCAAUGAUUGAUGUUCUUCCAUUGUUACUGAAUUAUUCAAGCAGUCAUAUGUACAUGUCCCAGCAAAAUAAUGUCCAUAGAAAAUAAAGAUGUCAUAUAAAAGAUAAUGCGCACGCUGAAGUAUCGCAUAUUGAAUUAAGCACCAGAUCUUUCUUCAACCAAGAUGUCGCAUCUAAAGUGGUUUUGAUUCAACAUUCAUGAAAUUAUCUGCCAAAGUUCUUAUGCAAUACAACCAAUUUAAGAUCUUU
Molecule: RNA transcript, 2791 nt
Organism: Elaeis guineensis (African oil palm)
Lineage: Eukaryota; Viridiplantae; Streptophyta; Magnoliopsida; Arecales; Arecaceae
Gene name: homogentisate 1,2-dioxygenase
Source: RefSeq, a predicted model, not a curated record